RNAcentral lists this small nuclear RNA (18 nucleotides) under Arabidopsis thaliana (thale cress). RNAcentral's name for it is "snRNA_13340". The record is from RNAcentral. Lineage: Eukaryota; Viridiplantae; Streptophyta; Magnoliopsida; Brassicales; Brassicaceae.
UUUUUAUCGGAUGUCCCC